Molecule: RNA transcript, 3976 nt
Organism: Brassica napus (rape)
Lineage: Eukaryota; Viridiplantae; Streptophyta; Magnoliopsida; Brassicales; Brassicaceae
Exons: 6
Source: RefSeq, a predicted model, not a curated record
AGAGGAAAGAAGAAAUGGUUUGAUGGAAAAGUAGAACAAGGGAGAAGGGGAAGAAUACUUACUGGGCGUGAUAUUUCUCAAAAUCUGAGAAAUUUUCACAAUGAUUUUGGAAAUUUCAAACGGUCUGGCAGUAAGAGAAAAAUGAUGCAGGGUUCAACUGAUUUAGGGUCUGAUAUUGAGGGUAUGUCGAGUGAAUCAGAUGAAGAGGAAGAAGUACUAGUAGAUGAGGAUGAGUUAUCUAGAUGGAAGAAGAGGUCAAUAUUCUUCAAGCUACCUUAUUGGGAGGAACUCCCGGUGAGGCACAACUUAGAUGUAAUGCAUGUGGAGAGAAAUGUUGCUGCAAGCUUAGUUUCAACGUUGUUGCACUGUGGGAAAUCUAAGGAUGGUCUUGCCGCUCGUAAGGAUCUGGAGGAGCUUGGUAUUAGGCCGGAUUUGCACCCUAGAGUGCAAGGAAAAAGAACCUAUCUCCCUCCAGCACCGUGGUCUUUGUCCAAGCAAGAAAAGAAGAUAUUUUGCAGGCGUCUAUUUGACUUCAAAGGGCCAGAUGGAUAUUGUUCUAACAUAUCAAGAGGUGUCUCGUUGGAUGACUGUAAAGUCUCUGGUCUGAAAUCACAUGACUACCAUGUUUUGAUGCAACAACUUCUGCCGAUUGCACUUAAAGGGUUGCUGCCAAAAGGACCGAGGCUUGCAAUUUUUAGAUUAUGCUCUUUCUUCAAUCUGUUGUGUCAGAGAGUGAUUGACAUGGAGAAGCUUCUAGUUAUGGAAGCUGAGAUUGUUGAGACUCUGUGCUUGUUUGAAAGAUACUUUCCUCCAAGUUUGUUUGAUAUCAUGCUUCAUUUGACUGUCCAUCUAGGAAGAGAAGCUCGGCUUGGUGGACCAGUCCACUUUAGAUAGAUGUACCCGUUUGAAAGGUAGAUAAUUAUGAUUUUUUUUCAUUCUGUUACAAACAUAUCCAAAACUGACAUUUAUUGAUUUGAUUCAGGUACAUGAAAGUCCUCAAAGACUUUGUUAGAAAUCCUGCAAGACCAGAGGGCUGCAUAGCUGAGUGCUACCUUGCUGAGGAAUGUAUCCGGUUUUGCAGUGAGUUCCUGAAGAAAACAACAAAUGUUCAAGAGAAACAGGAUAGAAACACAGAGUAUGAGAACAAUUCUAUCUUAGAGGGUCAUCCAAUAACCACUGCUACUUCAGUAAGUCUCACUGAAACGGAAAAGAGGAUUGCUCAUCUUGCUAUCAUCCAAAACAUGGCUCUGGUCGAACCUUAUGUAGAUGAGCAUCUACAAUAUUUACAAGACACAGAUGGAAGGUGUCGGCGAGAUGCAUCAACGUUAUGGAGUAUGCAUACUAAGAAUUUUGCUUCCUGGCUAAAAGAGAAGGUGCCUCUUGAUUCUGCAGAACAUGACGACACACUUAAGUGGAUAGCUUAUGGUCCACGUUGUUCUGCGAGAUCAUAUACAGGAUUCAUUGUUAAUGGGCAGAGGUUUCACACAGUGUCAGUUGAUAGGAAAAGUCAGAAUAGUGUGGUCUAUUAUGAGGCUACAGCAGUGUGUAGAGCUAGUGCAAAAGAUACAUCACAGGUGGUAGAUUUAGUAUCUUACUACGGCAGGGUGACAGACAUCAUUUUGAUCGACUACAAUGUCUUCUAUGUUCCUCUGUUCCGAUGUCAAUGGGCAGUUAAGGGUAAUCGAGUAAAGAUCGAAGAUGGUUUUACACUUGUGAACAUGAAUCAAAGUCAAGCCUCCUUUGCAAGUGACCCUUACAUUCUAGCAUCUCAAGCGAAGCAAGUGUUUUACUCCAGAGAAGAUGAGUCAUCAAACUGGUAUAUUGUCAUGAAAGGUCCUUCUAGAAGAUACAGUAAGGAAGAUAUUCAAGAGGGAAAUGCAGAUAUUGGGCCAUUACCGUCAAAUGUUGACUUGGAUGUUGACAUUGAUGAUGCUGAGAAUGUCAGAACUGAUUGUGAAGGGAUAUAUGUGUGACGAAGUUGCCUUAUUGACAUUGAUGAUAUCAUUGCUUGUUUUUGUUUUUGAUUGUGGUACUUGCUUGGUCAUUGUCUGCUUGUUUGGUUGUUUCUUGUUUUGAGGUUGUAGUGUGAUUGUUUCAGUGUUCUGUUGAGUAUGAAGUUAACUAUGUAUUUCUUAUUAUGUUUCAGGUGAAUUAAGAUGGGACGUGCAAAGCAGACUAAACGUGGAAGGAGACAAUCAAAGAAGUCAAAAAAGGCAGAUGAUGACGAAGUUGAGUUCGUUUGUACAAUCCAAACACAUGAAGAAGAACAUGAAGAGGAACGUGGGCAGCGACAGGAACAGGAAGAGGAACAUGUGGAGGAACGAGAACCAAAAGAGGAACAUGAGGAGGAGCAACAACAGUAAGAGGAGCGUCAACCAGAGCAACAUAAUGGCGACGAGCCUGAAGGUGAGAUAGAACAUACUCAGGAGGCUGAAGGUGGAACCUCCCGUAAGAGAAAGCGUGGUCCAACAAUGAUGAGAGACCUAGCCAAAGAUCCAAAUACCAGAGUUCAUGUCGAUUUCACUUUUAUGGGAGAAGCUUAUGGUCCUGGUUCAGUCAAGCUAUCUUCAUAUUUGGGUCCGUUGGUAAGGGAGCACGUGCCUGUUACAGUUGAAAAUUGGAAAAAAAUUACUGAAGAAGUGAAGACAGUGCUUUGGAAAUCAGUCCAGGCAAGGUUUGAACUUGAUGAGGACCACCAAAGGGUUGCAGUUCUUAAGCAGAUGGGAGCCUUGUGGAGAUCAUCCAAGUCACGUCUUGUUACCCAAAUCAAUGAAGCUGAAAAUAACCAACAAAGGAUGAAUCUCAGACCUAAGAAUGUUAAUCCAAUUGAGUGGCGCAAAUUUGUGAAGCUAAAAACAAGCCAAGAAUUCAAGGUAUACAUUCUUAGAUGGAACUCCCAUCGCUAUUACUAACUAGAUUAAUAAGAUCGUUAUUACGAAAUGAUAGGUUCUGAGUGAUAGCUACAAAGAGAGGAGAAGCAAACAGAUUCCUCACACUUGUAGUAGAAAGGGAAUGGUUAGACUAGCAGAAGAGAUGGUAAGCAUAUUAUCUCAGAUUUUGGUUUCAUUUUUUUAUCUGUAGACAAGGCUGUUGACAUAUAAUUUUGCAACAGAAAACUAGUUCUGAAGACAAAUCUGAAGUGUCGAGACUUAAAGUCUGGGUGAGGUCACGUACAAGAAAAGAUGGAACUCCCAUCAACACAAAUGCUGCUGAGAAGAUUGUAAGUUUAUAACAUAAUCUGUUCCUCCUAUUAAUCCUGGUCGGUAGAUAGAUAUGCUUAUAACUUUUUCUGUUAAUUGUAAUGUGGUAUACAGCAAAAGGCAGCUGAGAUUUUUAAGGGUGGUAGUCAGAGUGGAAAAAAUCUGGAUGAAGAUACGCUCAUCCAGGUCUUAGGACCUGAUAAUCCUGGUCGUAUGAGAGCAAUGGGGAGGAAUAUUAGUAAGACGAAAUUAGCUUGCUUCAAUGUCAACCAGAAGUCAAUUUCUGAAAUGCAACAGACACAAAUUCAUCUCAUGCAAAAGGUUAAUGAGCUACAGUCUGAACUUGCGAAAGUAAAAAACCAGGUUAGUUACAUCUCCAAGAAUACAUAAAGAUAAGUGCUUAUCACAUAAUAAUAAGCUUUGUGUUGGGUUUAUGUUACAGAGAGAUGACAAUGAAGUGGGGGAAAACUCGGCUGCAAGAAGUGUGAACAAGAUACCACAAAAGAAGUGUCUUCUCAUUGACUGGGCUGAUGAAGAUGGAAACGUUGCUGAGGGUCGUAUCAUUUCUUCUGACCCUGAAGACAUAGUGAAUGACAGUCGAUUAGGUCCUAAUGAUGUUAAAGUCUUGGUUGAUGAAGCUACUGAACCUGAAGCAUUCCUCUGGAGACCUGCGACUAACAUGUGCACAAUUAAGGAAGCUGUUGGUCAUAUUAUUGCAUGGCCGAAGAAAAAAUGCGUGGAACUAGGUCUGGGGCUUGAACAUGAAGACAUUGCAC